Molecule: long non-coding RNA, 8832 nt
Organism: Peromyscus californicus insignis
Lineage: Eukaryota; Metazoa; Chordata; Mammalia; Rodentia; Cricetidae
Exons: 3
Source: RefSeq, a predicted model, not a curated record
AGGUUCCAGGGCCGCCGGGCUGCGGUUCCCGCCACUGCGCUGCUGACUGGUGACUUUCCCAGGCCGCCCCGCGCGGCGACUGCGGCUCCCGGGAGUUUCAGGUCCCGAAUACCCGGCCGGGUCUUUCUUAUGCAGUUCUGGACCUCUGUACUCCCAGAGUCAAACGGGGAAUGGUGAAAUUUCCUAGCACUUCAGCCUAGUUCUUUGGAGCGGCACCUCCUGAUCCCGCCCAAUACACCCCGCUUCCAGUCAUGCGUUUCCUCUAAACCCGCCUUCCGGGGCUCUUUUUCUUAAUUUACAACCUCUCCAGCGCCCCACCUAAACUCCAGUGAUCAGACAGGUGUCCCCGCCCAUUGGGGAUCUGUCCCUUCCACUCAGUCUCAGGCUGCCUUCUACAUAGCUCCAGCUGUCAGGCUGCCCUGGACCCUCUUUGCACAGUCUCCCCACAUGCUCGCUGCCAGCCUGAACUAGAACUGGAUCUAGGAGGACGCUGCACUCCGGUUUCUAACCCUGUGUUCUGACCCCAUGAGAUACAAAUUAUCCCACCUAGCUUUUCUUGGAAUAGCAGCCUCCCUGGAUUAAAAACGCACAGCAAAAGACAACACCCUAAAUUCUGAUUCUCAAAUUCCUUUCUCAACAUAACCCAUUCUCAAUAAAUUAAUAUAAACUAAGAUAAAAGGCAUUUGCCUCAAAUAACAAGCCAUAUCUGUAACCCCUAAGGAGAGCAAUUUAAACGAUAUCCAAUACACAGAACUCAAAAAGAUGAGUCAUGUUCAAGGAGGUAAAAGCAUAUAAAGCAUGGGAAUCAACUCAAACAGGAAAGGAACAAAAUGAUUCGUGGGCAAGAAAACACUAGCUAAUAAUGCCUGUAGGAAAUGAGGACAAUGAAGGUCAUGAAAAAUGAAUUCAUUAAAUAGUUAAGUACACAAAACAAAAAAUCCCAAACUGAAAUGAGACAAGAAAUGAAAAAUGCAAUAAGCCUAAUAAUAACUCAAAAAGGUCAAUCAGGUAGGAGACAGAAUAUUAGGCUUGAAACAAGGCAGAGGAGCUGGAUGGCUCAGUCAAAGAAAAUAAUAAAGGUUAAAGUGAAAUCCCAACUGCACAUUCUACUCUUAUAUGAAAUAUUCUAAAUUUUUGAAACAGUAACUUACUCUGGAGAGCUUUACUGAGAAGCUGGAUAAUCAUUUCCACCACUAUGCAAAUGAAGUCUCACUAAAAAGCCAUCUUUAUCCUUCACAGACCUCCACUAUUGCUGGUCAAAUAUCCAGAAUUACACUAUUAGCAAUAUUGACUUGGGGAAAGACAUUUGAAGAACCCAGGAUUUUGAAAGGAAAUGGAUAUCUCAGGAAGUCAGUGGUCAGUCAGUCCAUUAACAGCUAGUGCUGAAUUCAUCCUGCUUUCACUGAUAAAUGGUGAAGUUGUGGAUUUACUAACAGAAACAAGUUUGUCUCCUGGAAAGCAUGCUAAAGGUGCUUUUAUAUAAAGCAUAGAAAAUUCCUUUUGAAAACUCAGUGGUGAACGUAGAAACUUUUUGGCUGUCCAAGAUGCAGAAAAUAAGCAAUGUGUAUGGCCACAGCCCUAAACAAGUCAGUUACAGCAUGUCAUCUAUGGCUCUGGGAAUAUUGAGGAAGAGGAGGUGGGAAGGAAAUAGGGGAAGAGGGGGAUGGGCAUAACCUUCCAAUAUCUCCAGACUCCACACAACUAUAGUAAUCAGUAAUCCAGAGCAAAUGUAUUCAUCUGCACUGGCCUCACUCAAGACCAGCCAUAGCCACAAUCAGUUUAGGAAGGGGAGAGACUCACAGGACCCCAUCCUUUAUCUCUCAGCUGUGACUAUGGACAGAUUUUAGGAACGGAGAAUCACUGUCUUAAUUGUGUCUCCUCUCUGGAAUCUUCUGACACAUAAAAUCCCAAACCCACAUUUUCACAUAUGGUCCUGGUUAAUCUUGGUGGGUCAAAACCAAAAUGAAUAGAAGUGAACAUGAGGGAGAGACACAGAGAGAGAUUAGUUGGAACUAUGGAACAGGAUUAUAGGGAGUUGGGGAUGAGAGUGUGUAUAAUAAGAACUAUUCCAGGUAAACAUCAAAUAACAACAACAAUAAUAAUCUUAAUAAUUAAAAUGACCACAACAGUGUGCAAUUUCAUUUUCAUGUCUUUAUCUGGUUUGGAAUCAGGUAACACUAGCUUCAAAAAGAGUCUGGAAGCCUUUCCUUAUUUUUACAUCAAGGGAUACUUUAAGUAGCUUCAGUAUCAAUUAUUCUUUGAAAUUCUGACAUAAUUCUGUGAUGAAUCAAUCUACUUCUCUGUCUUUUUUUGAAUGAGGAGCAUUAAUUGCUGCUUCACUGUUGAUGCUGCUUAAUUAUCCAGUAUUUCAUGUUGGUGUAAUUUUGGUAUGUGUUAUAAAUCAGGAUAUUUACCCAUUUAUUUUAGAGUUUCCAAUAUAGUUGCUAGCAGUAUUUAAAGUCAGUAGGCAUCAGCUGCGCUUGUAUACUCACGUCUACUGAUUAGGCCUUGCAGUUAGUUGGGUACUUCUCUGCUGUGAGAUGUUCUGUAUGGCAAAUGUGCUGCUCUGAUUGGUUGGCAAAUAAAUCACUGAUUGGCCCGUGACCAGGCAGGAAGUAUAGGCGGGACAAGGAGGAGAAUAAAGCUGGGAAGUGGAAGGCUGAGUCAGAGAGACACUGCCAGCCGCCAUGAUGAGAAACAGCAUGUGAAGAUGCAGGUAAACCCACGAGCCAUGUGGCAAGGUAUAGGUUAAUGGAAAUGGAUUAAUUAAGCUGUAAGAACAGUUAGCAAGAAGCCUGCCACGGCCAUACAGUUUGUAACCAAUAUAAGUCUCUGUGUUUACUUGGUCGGGUUUGAGCGGCUGUGGGACUGGCAGGUGAGAGAGAUUUGUCCUGACUGUGGGCCAGGCAGGAAAACUCUAGCUACAAAUGGCGUCCAACGUGGUGGCAAGAGUUUCCACCUAAAAACUGAGAAAAAAGAUUCUAAAACGGAGCUAAAAACAGCUUCCUAAUUGUCUCUCUCAAAUGAGCGGCAGCUGUCGAUUUGAGCUACUGGUGGGUUCCUAGCGUGCACGCUCAACCUGCCUAUGGCGGGAGUGAGGCCUCUGCAAGUGGCACAUUAAGCUGCAUGGUGGAUUUAGCCUUUUCUAGUACAAAACAAAAAAAAAAAGAGGUUUCUGGGCUACACACUGCUUGGAUAAAAGCAUAGACCCACGAUAGCUCCCAGAGCUGGUGGUAAACCACCGCCAUGUUGAGAAGCUGAGGUGGGCGGAGCCAGCAGCCACAGCUGCUGCAGUUUAAGGCAAUAGAUUCACAAUAAGACAGAUUCAGAUGUAAUAGUUUACAAUGUGUGUAAAAUAUACAUAGGCUUGAAAGAGACAAAAAAGGUGAUAUAUACAGUUAUAUAAACAAAUACAUAGUUUUAAAAAAUAAAGUCUUUAAAGAGACAGUAAAAUUAAUAUAAAAUAAGCCACGUAAAGAUGAAUAUUACACAGAGAAUCUGGAUUGUGUUGUCUUUGGGAUUUUUAACUGCAGAAAAACAUUUGAUUGUAAAAGUUGUUGAGUUAUGCCAAAAUGUAUAUUUUAAAGGUACCUUGACUUCAAAGUUUGGAUAUAAGGAUAUGUUGCUUUGGAAAGGAGACUCUGCUUUUGUUUCCACAGAAAGCCAGAGGCUAUGGAUUUGUUCCAGAUUAAGAUACAUCAGGUUUGACCAGCCAAGACCCCCUGAAAGGUGUCCGAUGACACCAUGGCCCAGAUGAUCCAACAUCCAGAAUGGUUUCAAGGCAACUGGCUCAGACGAUAUACCCUCACGGACUACUCCAUAAUCCUAAAAUAUUCUUUGUGUCCCCAUAAGAUACAACGCCCCCCUCCAGCAGGAAGUAGUAAGAGAAGCUACGCCCAAAUUCCCAAAUUAUAUGUAAUUUUACUUUGUUAAAGUUAAAACCUUCCUUUUUGAAAAAAAAAAGGGGGGGGGGAAGUGCUGUGGGAUGUUCUGUAUGGCAAAUGUGCUGCUCUGAUUGGUUGGCAAAUAAAUCACUGAUUGGCCCGUGACCAGGCAGGAAGUAUAGGCGGGACAAGGAGGAGAAUAAAGCUGGGAAGUGGAAGGCUGAGUCAGAGAGACACUGCCAGCCGCCAUGAUGAGAAACAGCAUGUGAAGAUGCAGGUAAACCACGAGCCAUGUGGCAAGGUAUAGAUUAAUGGAAAUGGAUUAAUUAAGCUGUAAGAACAGUUAGCAAGAAGCCUGCCACGGCCAUACAGUUUGUAACCAAUAUAAAUGUCUGUGUUUACUUGGUCGGGUUUGAGCGGCUGUGGGACUGGCAGGUGAGAGAGAUUUGUCCUGACUGUGGGCCAGGCAGGAAAACUCUAGCUACACUUCUCAUUUCAUGUUGGCAACAAGUUCUAUAUGCCCAGCUAAUAGGGAGAUGCACAGUAAAUCUCCUUUAAGAUUCCAACUCACCCCAGUCAGAAUGGCCAUCACCAGGAUAAAUAACAAAUUCUGACAUGAAUAUGAUGAAUGUGACAGUAUUAUACACUGCUUGUGAGAGUGUAAACUAGAGAGGCCACUUUGGAAAACAGUCUACACAUUUCUCACCAAACUAGAAAUACAACUAUCAUAUACACUACACUGAAUUGUUGGCUAAAGGGGUCCCACGGAAAUUCCCAAACAAUCUAGGCUAUUAGCAAGAGAAUAGGUUGCUCUCCACAAACAAGAAAGGACUCAAUGCUGAAGAUAAGAUCUACACAACACAUUGAACAUGGAGAGGUCAAGUGGGUGCCUUCAUAGAACCUGCACCACUAUGUUCUAGUGUUCUUGCUAUGGUUAAGGUACAUUACAGGCUACUGGAACAGAAAUAUGAACACUGAACCAACCACAAAGCCUUUGAUCGACAAUCUGUUCUGCCUGCUAACUGUGCUUGAGCAACAGUGGCACAAAGCUUGUAGAAGAAACCAACCAAUGUCUGAAGUGACUUAGGGCCCAAACUCAGGAAACUGAAUCCAUACCUGACACUGCUCAGAUGACCAAGAACCAGAGUCCACAUAGCUAGAGACCUAUGGUAAAAACCAAAACACUUCUGGUCUAAACAACAACAACAAAAUAACUCCUAAUGAUAUGUUGCUGUACUGAUAGAUCUGUACUGUAUUCAGCCAUCAUCUGAGAAGCUUCCUCCUGCAGCAUAUGGGAACAAAUAGAGAGACUAAUAGCUAUACCUUAAGCAGAGAAGAGAGAUCUUGGAACACAGAGCUCUAAAUGGGUUGUCUCCUGCAAAUCCCACCUCUCAAAGCCCAGGGAACCUCAGAGAAGAGGAGGUAGAAAGAAUAUAAGAGACAGAAGGGAUGGAGGAUACCAGGAAAACAAGAUCUUUAAAUAAACUGAGCAAAGGCCAUAUGAACUCACAGAGAAUGAAGCAGCAAGCAGAGGUCCAACAUAGAUCUUCAUCAGAUCUGCUAUGUAUAUGUUGUAGCUUUCAAUUUAGUGUUUUUAUGGGACUCCUGAGUGUGUGAACCAGUGGCUCUCAAAUUCUUGUGCUUUCUCUUGGGGCUCUUUUGUUGUUGUGGUUUAUUUACCACAUCCAACUUUGAAGUGGUGGUUUUGUUUUAGCUUAUUAUAUUUUAUUUUGCUAAGUUUUGUUAUUGCCUUUUAUAAGCCCAUUCUUUUUUAAUGAGAGACAGAAAGGGAGUUGAUCUGGAUGGGAUGAAAGGUGGAGAGGACCUGGGAGGAGUAGAGGGAGGAGAAACUAUAAUCAGAAAAUAUUGCCUGAGAAAAGUAUCUAUUUUUAAUAAAAGGGAAAAUAGAAAAUGCUAUAUUUUAAAAAUUAAUGAAGUUCAUGAUGUCCCUUUAAGGUGAAAAUACCAAAAGAAAAAAUAACUAAAUGAAGUUUUUCUCAACUUAGGGAUAAAUAAACAUUUUUGUCUUCUAAAGAGUGUUUAUAAUAAUAAGUUCUCUAUAGACUAAGUUGUGUUCAAAAUAAUCCCUAAGCAAGGCUCAAUUGCAUGAAACCAUUCCUGAAGAUCCUUGAGCUGAUUGUGGACACCCUAUAUCAGACCUGGAAUUUCACUCUAUUUACUAGUUCUUUCUGGUUUGCAUGUGUGUAACACGUGAGCCCAAACCACAGAAUUUGUGCAAGGAGAGGCUGAGAAGUUGAGAUAUGGGAAUUCUGAGCAAUGAAUGGAUUAGAACACCAGCCCUCCCUGAUAAAAGCAAGGAUUUAGUUUGAAUUACAGCACCAUGGGAUGUGGGGCUUUGGAAAAGGCAUUCUAUACAGUGAAGGGAAAAGCAGUCUUUUGUGAAGUUUUUUUCUAAUAAAUCAUUACAUUUUUGUGUAGAGAAAUAAAUUUUUCCCAGACAUUGAAUCAUAAGGGUCCAACCAUGAGUUCAGUUGUCAUUCACUGAUGCAGCACAGUUGGGAGAAUAUGUGUCACUUACACAAUUUUAUAGCACAGUUCUGUUCUGUCUUCUGCAAUCUCCAAAGUACUUCAUUCUGUCUCUCUGUAUGUUAUAUCAAUGAAACCAUCUGAUUUGAGGCUAAAAUCUUGGAGCAGGGAGCCCAACAAUAUUUCAUUCUUUAACUGAUUUUUAGCCCAAUAACUAUGCAGUUGAUCAGUGUGUCUGUUUUUCCCAAUACUGUGCAGUUUUUAUUGCUGUAGCUUUGUAGGGCAAGAUCCCACAGUUCUGUUAUUAUUCAGGUUUGUUUUUUGGCUGUCCUGGGUUCUUGUGUUUCCAUAUGAAGCUGAAAAUUGUCCCUUUAAGAUCUGUUAAGAUGUCUGGCAGUGGUGGUGCAUGCCUUUAAUUCCAGUACUCUGGAAGUAAAGCAGGCUGAUCUCUGAGUUCAAGGCCAGCCUGAUCUACAAAGUGAGUUCCAGGAUAGCCAGGGCUACAAAGAGAUACCCUGUCUUAAAACACCAGAAGCAAAAAGAAAUACAUGAAGAAUUAUGUUGGGAUUUGAAUCUGUUGUUUGCUUUUGUUAGGAUGGUCAUGUUUCCUAUAUUAUUCCAAUCAAUCCAUGCACUGGACAUAUUUCCAUCUUCUGAAACCUUCAAUUUCUUUCUUUAAUGACUUGAACUUAUUUUCUGCUUUCUGAAGAAUCUCUUUCCCAUGUUCCGGUCUCCGAUUGCUCAGCCAGUCCUGCUCAACUGUGAAGCAGAACAAAGAGCCCUUGAUGGUGAAGAGAGAGGAGACAGUAGCAAAGGAUCCAGAAAAAAGAUGCCUUUGCCCACAACUAGCAGGAAGCAAUUUUGAGAACACGACGCCCACAUUCCCAAAGAGGUGGUGUGAGACAUGUCGGCUCUUGGCAGCACCAAUCUACUUCAGAGAAGAUAUGGGCAUUGAAGAAACUGCAUAUGGAGUUAACUUUCAUUGUGGCAAAAAUUAGCCACUGGACAACAAAGUGUCCUUGAAUUGUCUGCUGACAAACAGGACAAAAUGGACAGACAGGACAUGAAACAAAGGACUAACAACUCUUGCCAAGACAAGUGUGGUUGUGGCUUUAGCAAGAGGCAUUCUCUGAGGCUAGGACAAUAUGGCACCAUAGCUGAAGUGGCCUUUGCAAUCUGGAAAAGAUAUAGUGCCCCUUUUUUCAAAGGCAGCUGAAUAGGCCGUGGACCGAUGGCUUCUAGUGUUCAGUGGAACAGUAGCUGAAACAGUUAUUAUUGGAAGGGUAACUAUUCUGAUAAAGUCUAAUCUUUCAAUCUAGACUGACAUAUGUAUGGGUGGGGCUAACAAAUGAAGGGGGAUGGGAAGGAGAAGGGAGGCAUCAGGAGUUGCCAGCCAGAUGCAGAGGAAACAAGAUGAGAAUGCCAUACUUAGAAAAGCUACCAAGCCAUGAGGAUAAGCAUAGAUAGCAAUUAUGGGUUAAUUUAAGUGUAAGAGUUAGUUAGUAAUAAGCCUGACCUACUGGCUGAGCAUUUAUAAUUAAUAGAAGCCUCUCUGUUUUGGAAGUGGCUGCCAGGUAUUUGGGAGUUACUUGUGGAACAGAAACUUCUGCCUUCAGAUAACUCCAAAUGUGAUGGACUUUGUGAUCCUUGGAAAAAGACCAUAGACUCAACCCAACUAUAACCGAAAAAAAUUAUUGAUUUGCUGUUAACAAGGUGAAUGAUCUCUGAGCCAAAUUUGAGAUUGCUGUGUAGGAAAGGUAUUUGGAAUGGCAUUUAAAUAGGAAAAACACACAAAGACCCUCAAUAUCUAUGUAAGCAAGCAAAAACUGUUCCAUUAUGUCACAUUAAGAGGUUAAGUCAACUCAUAACAAUCUUUGAAUUCCCACACAAGCAAGUUAAGUAAGAAAAAGCUUUAGUCAUAUAAGAAUAAAUUGAUAGUCACAGCUGUAUAUUUUUUGGUGGUAGUUACAGAGUUAGGGUUACUAGGAAGUUAUCUUGUGGGGUCUGGUAUCAUAAACCAACAGUUGGUGGGUACCAACAUGGAUGCCCAGCAUAUAAUGGAGUUUCUUUAACCAUAACAUGUGUAGCUAUUUCUUGGAGACUGAACAUUUCAUACUGAUGAGCAACUGAUUAAGACAGUAAAUAAAUCUUUGAGAAUAACUUCAAGAAGUCCCUGAGUCUGACAGGAUUCACUAUAUUUAACUCCCAUGAAGAAAUUCACACCAAUCAUGCUAGUUAUACCAGGCUUCAACCAACUGAGUUAAGCUAGAACACCCUUUAAUGUGUGGGUAUGCCAGCAAGUGUACAUCAUGUUCCAGGUGCACAGUGUCCAUAUUCUAUGUCCCAUGCCAUGUUGAAGUUUCAUGAUGGCAAUUAUCUUUGAGUUCCUUUGGUCCCUGUAAACAGUUCCUUCCCCAUAUUCCUAUAUGUAAUCCCAAUAAAGCUCAUUUGUUAAACAAGA